UUCAGAGAGAGAGAGAGAGAGAGAGAGAGAGAGAGAGAGAGAGAGAGAGAGAGAGAGAGAGAGAGAGAGAGAGAGAGAGAGAGCAGGGAUGUAUAUGUACAAAGUAAGUGUGUGUGUGUGUGUGUGUGUGUGUGUGUGUGGGGGGGGGGGGGGGGGGGGGGGUAUUAAAGUGGAGGCCGAUGACACUUAAAAGUCAUCCACGAGAGCACUGAGGAACUUGGACAUGAACAGAAAAGAGAACAGAGACAUGUCGGAGGCUGUGUGGAUGGUGAGGCCUGCAGGGAUGCUGCUUUUUACACAGUGCACCUCAACGCGCCAAAACAAGUGCACAAUACCACAUGGUAACUGCUCUCCCUGUUUUUAUGCCCAGAAACCAAACAUUAUUUCGAUGAUUGUGGUGAAGUAUGAAAGAUGUGGCUCAGAGAGAGAGAGAGAGAGAGAGAGAGAGAGAGAGAGAGUGUCCGUCCACAAGUGACGCUCUCCUGACAUUUGUUUCGGUGGGUUCCUGGCUGGAGGUCAAACACUUUUACGCACCUUUUUAUUUCCGCCACAUCUGAAGUCCGAGCGGUCAGAGGGCCUGAUGAUCUGAAAAACCACCACCCCUCCUCUACUCUACACACACACACACACACACACACACACACACACACACACACACACACACACACACACACACACACACACACACACACACACACACACACACACACACACACACGCAUUCUCACACAGGCUCCGUUAAAUUAUGCAAAAAGGCCAUUCAACAAAUAUAGCCCUCACAACACAAAAGAGAAGGAUGAUUCUGACAUUUCCCCACAUUUCUUGUUUUUUUUUCCUUUCCUACACUCUCGAAGUGAGUAAGACCCCGAGAUAAACCCCUGAACAAGUAUCAAGUUAUCAAGUUGCACCGACCUUUUGUAAUAAGAGUAUUUUGUCUAAUCCCAAAUUGCAGUUGAAUUUUCUUAAUGCUGAGCUGGUAAAGCCUGGGAUUAGGCGGUGAGGAGAGGAGGGGGAAAAGUUUUGUCCCUUCAGCCGGCAGGAUUGGGAGCUGGAAUCUGCGGGGAUGUUGUCGGUACUUAUUAAAACGAUGAUGCAUAAAACACAGAGUUGCUGUCGGAGCCCCGGCGCCGUGCGCGGAGACCCGGGCUCCCUCAGGUGCAGGUUUUUUUGGACGGCGGCGGGGACAGAAAGUUAUGUAGAGGGCCGAGCGGCGCGCAGCACCUGUGAGGUGAGGCCAAGAGACAUCAAAGCUCAGGAGAUAAUCCAUUCAGCUGAAGGAUCCUCUGCUGCACAGCAGCGCACAGCCAACCACCACCUUUUACGCAGCGCCGAGCUCCUGUUCUCUGAAAAAUAGGAGACUGACUCCAAAUGUUUUUCUGCCUCAUCAGGAGCCUCAACCCCGGGUGAUGCUUGAGAGGUAAGAGAUCACUGACUCUCACUUUUUAUCCUUUCUUUGCUCUAACAGGCAAAAAUGCCUCUUUAAAAAAAAUCAAAACAUUCGACUUAUUACAUGUUCAUGGUUCCUUUCCCUUGAUUUGGAUGUGUUUGAUUUAAUAAAGAGCGUUUUCAGCAUGUUAAAUGUAAUUUUAUACGAUCAUUUCUACGGUAAAAGUUCCGUUUUACGCACGAAAAUUUCUUAACGUUUUCAAAACCCUCCAGAAAAUACUUUGACCAAUAUUUUACAGCAGUUGAAAUCCUGCAUUACGGUGAAUAAUUUACUGUUCACACACACACUCUCUCACACACACAUCGCCACAUGCACCGAGCAUAACGUCCUUUCCCCGCUCCGGCUCUUUGCUUUAUUCUCCAGAUUAGAGACCCCCGCGAUAAAACGCGCUAUAACACAAAGUAAAACAAAGCGCCUCGGGGGACGCAGAGUGCGUAAUAUGCACGUACAGUCGGUCCCAAGCAGAGAAGAAACGAAUCAGCAAAUUAAUUUGAAAGUAUUAGAAAGGCCGGGGAGGACGUCUGCUGUCACAACCGAUUUUCUUGCUUUAAUCGGGGACGUGAGGCAGCCUGCGGGGCUGUGGGAGGGUUACACCGUUCAUCCUCACCUUUAUUACAGGGACAUGUUUCAACAUUUAUUAUUAUACUUGGAUAUCAUUCUGACUAAAAAAAAAAAACUACAAGAAAAAAAGGGGCAAAUUAAAGUGGUGUGAUUUUUCCCCAACAUCUGAUAACUAAUACCUUUAUUUUCCCAGCCGCCUUUCCAGUUUUGAUUAUUCUCCUUUUCCAACUACGGCUCCAUGUGACCGAGUCUCCACAUCUCUGCCCCCCGUCUACAGCGCGCGCAUGAGCGGCCCAAAGAGAAACCGAGAAAAGGAGAGAGAGAGAGGGGGAAAAAAACAUCUGCUCGGAACAAAGUGAUUUCUCUAAUCUUCCUCAGAGGAACCUGCUCUGCUCCGACCUCAAACAAAAAAACAGCCCAACGCCAAUUUUAAUU
Non-coding RNA from Xyrichtys novacula (pearly razorfish), 2443 nucleotides. NCBI's taxonomy places the organism in Eukaryota, Metazoa, Chordata, Actinopteri, Labriformes, Labridae. The record is from the annotation of a GenBank genome assembly.